GGGAAUGUGGCUCAGUGGUAGAGUCCUUGCCUAGCAUGCAUGAAGCCCUGGGUUCAGUACCCAGUACCA
RNAcentral lists this transfer RNA (69 nucleotides) under Dipodomys ordii (Ord's kangaroo rat). It matches the Rfam family "tRNA". Rfam says of the family: Transfer RNA (tRNA) molecules are approximately 80 nucleotides in length. Their secondary structure includes four short double-helical elements and three loops (D, anti-codon, and T loops). Further hydrogen bonds mediate the characteristic L-shaped molecular structure. tRNAs have two regions of fundamental functional importance: the anti-codon, which is responsible for specific mRNA codon recognition, and the 3' end, to which the tRNAs corresponding amino acid is attached (by aminoacyl-tRNA synthetases). tRNAs cope with the degeneracy of the genetic code in two manners: having more than one tRNA (with a specific anti-codon) for a particular amino acid; and 'wobble' base-pairing, i.e. permitting non-standard base-pairing at the 3rd anti-codon position. Lineage: Eukaryota; Metazoa; Chordata; Mammalia; Rodentia; Heteromyidae. The record is from Rfam by way of RNAcentral.